This 463-nucleotide ribosomal RNA is filed under the name uncultured bacterium. Its description in RNAcentral is "partial 16S ribosomal RNA". It matches the Rfam family "Bacterial small subunit ribosomal RNA", at positions 28 to 507 of the family's 1533-position model. The record is from RNAcentral.
GAUGAACGCUGACAGAAUGCUUAACACAUGCAAGUCUUCGGCGAAUCUGUGCUUGCACAGGCUAGCCAAGGCGGACGGGUGAGUAACGCGUAAAGAACUUGCCCUGCAGACAGGGAUAACAGACGGAAACGACUGAUAACACCUGAUACAGUUGCCGGCACGCAUGUGCCUGGCAAUGAAAAGAGAUGCUGCAGGAGAGCUUUGCGUCCUAUUAGCUUGUUGGUGAGGUGACGGCUCACCAAGGCGAUGAUAGGUAGCCGGCCUGAGAGGGUGAACGGCCACAAGGGGACUGAGAUACGGCCCUUACUCCUACGGGAGGCAGCAGUGGGGAAUAUUGGACAAUGGGGGCAACCCUGAUCCAGCAAUUCUGUGUGCACGAAGAAGGUUUUCGGAUUGUAAAGUGCUUUCAGCAGGGAAGAAGAAAGUGACGGUACCUGCAGAAGAAGCGACGGCUAAAUACGUG